GGCUCACUGCCUUACAGCCACAUUGGCUGCCGUGACCAGAUUAUCUUUAUGGUGGGCCGUGGCUAUCUGUCCCCGGACCUCAGCAAAAUCUCCAGCAACUGCCCCAAGGCCAUGCGGCGCCUGCUGUCUGAUUGCCUCAAGUUCCAGCGGGAGGAGCGGCCCCUCUUCCCCCAGAUCCUGGCCACAAUUGAGCUGCUGCAACGGUCACUCCCCAAGAUUGAGCGGAGUGCCUCGGAACCCUCCUUGCACCGCACCCAGCCAAUCAAUGUUCGUCUCUGCCCUGAUGCUGCCUCAGGAUACCCCAUUCCCCACCCUGGGAGAUGAGGGGGUCCCCAUGUGCUUUUCCAGUUCUUCUGGAAUUGGGGGACACCCCCAAAGACUGAGCCCCCUGUCUCCUCCAUCAUUUGGUUUCCUCUUGGCUUUGGGGAUACUUCUAAAUUUUGGGAGCUCCUCCAUCUCCAAUGGCUGGGAUUUGUGGCAGGGAUUCCACUCAGAACCUCUCUGGAGUUUGUGCCUGAUGUGCCUUCCACUGGAUUUUGGGGUUCCCAGCACCCCAUGUGGAUUUUGGGGGGUCCCUUUUGUGUCUCCCCCACCAUUCAAGGACUCCCCUCUUUCUUCACUAAGAAGCACAGAAUUCUGCUGGGC
RNAcentral lists this small RNA (645 nucleotides) under Pongo abelii (Sumatran orangutan). RNAcentral's name for it is "processed transcript". Lineage: Eukaryota; Metazoa; Chordata; Mammalia; Primates; Hominidae. The record is from RNAcentral.